UGCCAGGAUAAAAUCUUUCUGAACUUAUUACAUCGGUGCAUUUACCCGACAAUUUUCUGUAUUGUAUUCCCUGCCUAGACUCACUUGCUGGUCUCAAUGACUGUUUCCGCUCAUAAACAUGGAUUUAGAAGUGUGAAAUUCUGAUCAAAUACCUUGUUGAUUCGCGCUACAUAGCUGGUCAAUCGGAAAUGGGGCAAAUGAGUACUAAAUAAGGUUAAGGAGAUGUCACGGCUGAGAUAGUUUAGCAUUAUUACAAUACACAAUCGGUAUUGAAAUUGUGUUUCCAAUACAUGUGCUCAUUAGAUAAAUCCUCAAUAUCUAUGUGAAAAUAAGGGAUGUGUUUUGUAUGAUUGGAACACUGUGAGUUGCUCUAAUUACUGACAAAUGACUGAAACAAUAGGAAUUCGUACGAGAGAUGGAUAGACAAAACGACAGUGAGAGAGUUCAAUAACUACAUCAUGAAAGAAAGAUGAAGGACUGAGGACUGCUCGGCCACUUAAUGGAGAUGAACUAUGCUCAACACUCAAGAGAAGAUGAAAGAUUGCCUUUGUACUAUCAAGAAGGCAUUCAUAAUAAUUAGAUAUAACCCAGAGUAGCUUCAGGCUUCGUAUAAUUUCCUUCGCAACCCGAAGGGGUCUGGUUUCCUGCAGGAGUGGGUGUUGGCCAUCACUGAGUCUCUUCUUUGCCAGCAGGCCGGCAAUAUCGCUAUCACCGAGAUGAACGACGACGUACGGUGGAUUCUUGCGGUUUACUCGUUUCAUAAAGUUGCGGUACUCUGGUGUGAACAUUAUGCCCGUCAGCUUCGCCCCGCAUAUGCAGCUUGAGGUUCUAGAUCUCGCAUCAGGUUGGUUUUUCUUCAAAUGACAAGAGCCAAGAAAAGCCAUGUUUGUUUUCAAACAGAAUUGAAAAUAAUUGAUGCAAGAAGAAUAUAUCAACUGUGAGAUAAUAGGAGGCGGAGUGCAAAUGACGUAGACAACUGUGA
Mercenaria mercenaria is the source of this 982-nucleotide long non-coding RNA. RefSeq lists it as uncharacterized. The transcript has 3 exons. Lineage: Eukaryota; Metazoa; Mollusca; Bivalvia; Venerida; Veneridae. The record is from RefSeq and is a predicted model, not a curated record.